Myotis daubentonii (Daubenton's bat) is the source of this 476-nucleotide long non-coding RNA. RefSeq lists it as uncharacterized. Lineage: Eukaryota; Metazoa; Chordata; Mammalia; Chiroptera; Vespertilionidae. The record is from RefSeq and is a predicted model, not a curated record.
GUGGAGUCAAGCCCUACGAGGCCACGGGACCUGCUGGCCUGCGAGCCUUGGGGUGCUGAUGGGUGUCAUUGGCCGGAGCUCUGCAGAGGCCUCCGGUGGCCUCUCCUUUGGACACAAGCAUCUUGGGAAGCAGGUCAACCAAGGGCACUGGUGACUCCACCUCGUGUUUCCAGGAAAUUCUCAGUGACACGCAGCCUUACCAGUGAAGGUUGGUCCAGGCCUGUGCCGAUGGAGUCACGGCCACGCCCGGCCCUGAGCCGGCCGCAGCCUGCAGAGUGCAGUGUUGAUCCGUGCAUUGAGGGAGGGGCAAGAAGUCAGUCGACAGCCCUGCUGGUGUGGCCCAGCGGCUGAGCGUCAACCCAGGAAACAGGGGGUCACUGGUUCGAUUCCUGGUCUGGACACAUCCCCAGUGGGGGAUAUGCAGGAGGCAGCUGACCAGUGAUUCUCUCUCAUCAAUGAUGUUUCCAUCUCUCCCU